Molecule: ribosomal RNA, 302 nt
Filed under: uncultured bacterium
Lineage: Bacteria
Description: partial 16S ribosomal RNA
Rfam family: Bacterial small subunit ribosomal RNA
Source: RNAcentral
GCAGUAGCCGCGGUAAUACGAAGGGGGCUAGCGUUGUUCGGAAUUACUGGGCGUAAAGCGCACGUAGGCGGAUAUUUAAGUCAGGGGUGAAAUCCCAGAGCUCAACUCUGGAACUGCCUUUGAUACUGGGUAUCUUGAGUAUGGAAGAGGUGAGUGGAAUUCCGAGUGUAGAGGUGAAAUUCGUAGAUAUUCGGAGGAACACCAGUGGCGAAAGCGGCUCACUGGUCCAUUACUGACGCUGAGGUGCGAAAGCGGGGGGAGCAAACAGGAUUAGAUACCCCGGUAGUCCCUGUCUCUUAUAC